AAGUCGUAACAAGGUUUCCGUAGGUGAACCUGCGGAAGGAUCAUUAACACGUAUCCACGUAUCCACCCAAGCGAACAAAAUUUCACCCUCCCUGCGUCAUGUUACACGAGUCCGGUAUAAAGGGUAGGACGGGUUUGAAUGGGACUGGCCUCGGCCGGUCGACCCCCCUAUCACAUGAGACUGUGAGAGCGACUCGUCGCUCUUGCUUUCCAACGGCUGUAGUAGAAGGCGCAGGCAACUUCCUAUGAGGCAUGGCUCCCAAUUCAUGCUGAGCCCAUAGGGACCCCACCAAUACACUAUACUCACCCCCUUUUUGCUAGUUGACUUUUUAUAUGUGCGCUUUGGCCUCGGCCGGAGUCACACGUUUAAUUACUUGAACGUUAAAAAUACAACUCUUAGCAAUGGAUAUCUUGGUUCUC
This 419-nucleotide unclassified non-coding RNA is filed under the name fungal sp. Its description in RNAcentral is "partial internal transcribed spacer region". The stretch from base 1 to 46 matches the Rfam family "Eukaryotic small subunit ribosomal RNA", at positions 1786 to 1831 of the family's 1831-position model. The record is from RNAcentral. Lineage: Eukaryota; Fungi.